CCUACGGGAGGCAGCAGUGAGGAAUAUUGGUCAAUGGACGCAAGUCUGAACUAGCCAUGCCGCGUGCAGGAAGACGGUCCUAUGGAUUGUAAACUGCUUUUGUACGGGAAGAAACCCUCCGACGUGUCGGAGCUUGAUGGUACCGUAAGAAUAAGCAUCGGCUAACUCCGUGCCAGCAGCCGCGGUAAU
RNAcentral lists this ribosomal RNA (189 nucleotides) under uncultured bacterium. Its description in RNAcentral is "partial 16S ribosomal RNA". It matches the Rfam family "Bacterial small subunit ribosomal RNA", at positions 338 to 524 of the family's 1533-position model. The record is from RNAcentral.